GACGAACGCUGGCGGCGUGCUUAACACAUGCAAGUCGAACGGAAAGGCCCUGCUUUUGUGGGGUGCUCGAGUGGCGAACGGGUGAGUAACACGUGAGUAACCUGCCCUUGACUUUGGGAUAACUUCAGGAAACUGGGGCUAAUACCGGAUAGGAGCUCCUGCUGCAUGGUGGGGGUUGGAAAGUUUCGGCGGUUGGGGAUGGACUCGCGGCUUAUCAGCUUGUUGGUGGGGUAGUGGCUUACCAAGGCUUUGACGGGUAGCCGGCCUGAGAGGGUGACCGGCCACAUUAGGACUGAGAUACGGCCCAGACUCUAACGGGAGGCAGUAGGGGGGAAUAUGGCACAAUGGGCGGAAGCCUGAUGCAGCAACGCCGCGUGCGGGAUGACGGCCUUCGGGUUGUAAACCGCUUUCGCCUGUGACGAAGCGUGAGUGACGGUAAUGGGUAAAGAAGCACCGGCUAACUACGUG
RNAcentral lists this ribosomal RNA (468 nucleotides) under uncultured bacterium. RNAcentral describes it as "partial 16S ribosomal RNA". It matches the Rfam family "Bacterial small subunit ribosomal RNA", at positions 28 to 507 of the family's 1533-position model. The record is from RNAcentral.